This is a non-coding RNA of Kogia breviceps (pygmy sperm whale), 536 nucleotides long. NCBI's taxonomy places the organism in Eukaryota, Metazoa, Chordata, Mammalia, Artiodactyla, Physeteridae. The record is from RefSeq and is a predicted model, not a curated record.
CACGACCCCACCGCCGGCUGGCCAGCCUGAGGGCACCCUCCCGGCGCCGGCUUCGCGGAGGCCGAGCGACAGCCGCCUCCUUAUUGGGAACGGAGAGGGCGGCAGCCGGGCCCGCUCCGCCGAGGCCCGAGGCCCAACGCCGCGACACGGGCCGAGCAGCGGCCAGGCAACCGCGCGCCCCUCGCACCCGUCCGUGGGUCUGGCCCGGGUCUCCUCACCAGUUCCGCGCACGGGGAGGGGCUGGCAACGGGCCGGAGGGGGCAGCGGCGCCCGAGGAGAGAACGCGGCCCCGGGCCUCGUGUCACUCACCGUUUGAAAUGCUCGAUGAUCUUCUCUUCCCGCACAUUCUCCGUUACGGCGACCACAAAGGGAUCCGGAGUGGACUUCUCUCCUUCACCUGAACUCUACGAGGAACUGGAGCCUUGGGACCAGCAGAGGCCCCUUGCACUCGUCUGCCUCCUUGGAGCGUCCAGAUGAAUUUGGGUCAACAUCAGGGAACUAGAUCCCGCAUGCCACAACUAAGACUCAGCACAGCC